This 82-nucleotide transfer RNA is filed under the name Endocronartium harknessii PhW48OC. Its description in RNAcentral is "tRNA-Und (NNN) (tRNA-Und-NNN-8-1)". It matches the Rfam family "tRNA". Rfam says of the family: Transfer RNA (tRNA) molecules are approximately 80 nucleotides in length. The record is from RNAcentral. Lineage: Eukaryota; Fungi; Basidiomycota; Pucciniomycetes; Pucciniales; Coleosporiaceae.
GACUGGAUAGCCUAGCGGUUAAGGCAUCACAUACGAGUUGUGUCCCAGUUAAGGGUCCUUGGUUUGAAUCCAAGUCUAGUCA